UACAGAGGUCUCAAGCGUUGUUCGGAUUCAUUGGGCGUAAAGCGCGUGUAGGCGGCCCGGUAAGUCCGCUGUGAAAGUCGGGGGCUCAACCCUCGAAUGCCGGUGGAUACUGUCGGGCUAGAGUGCGGGAGAGGCGAGUGGAAUUCCUGGUGUAGCGGUGAAAUGCGCAGAUAUCAGGAGGAACACCAAUUGCGAAGGCAGCUCGCUGGAACGUAACUGACGCUGAGACGCGAAAGCGUGGGGAGCAAACAGG
This 253-nucleotide ribosomal RNA is filed under the name uncultured bacterium. Its description in RNAcentral is "partial 16S ribosomal RNA". It matches the Rfam family "Bacterial small subunit ribosomal RNA", at positions 524 to 776 of the family's 1533-position model. The record is from RNAcentral.